RNAcentral lists this ribosomal RNA (441 nucleotides) under uncultured Pelagibacterales bacterium. Its description in RNAcentral is "bacterial SSU rRNA". It matches the Rfam family "Bacterial small subunit ribosomal RNA", at positions 1077 to 1533 of the family's 1533-position model. Lineage: Bacteria; Pseudomonadati; Pseudomonadota; Alphaproteobacteria; Candidatus Pelagibacterales. The record is from RNAcentral.
UGGGUAGUCCGCACGAGCGCACCUUACUUUUAGUUGCCACCAUUUAGUUGAGCACUCUGAAAGAACUGCCAGUGAUAAGCUGGAGGAAGGUGGGGAUUACGUCAAGUCCUCAUGGCCCUUACGUGUUGGGCUACACACGUGCUACAAUGGCACUCACAGUAGGAAGCAAAGAUGUGAGUCUAAGCAAAUCCUAAAAAAGUGCCUCAGUUCGGAUUGUACUCUGCAACUCGAGUACAUGAAGCUGGAAUUGCUAGUAAUCGCGGAUCAGCGCGCCGCGGUGAAUACGUUCCCGGGUCUUGUACACACCGCCCGUCACACCAUGGAAGUUGGUUCUACCUUAAGGCAAAGCAUAAAACCUUUGACCACGGUAUAGUCAGCGACUGGGGUGAAGUCGUAACAAGGUAGCCGUAGGGGAACCUGCGGCUGGAUUACCUCCUUUCU